GAUGAACGCUGGCGGCGUGCCUAAUACAUGCAAGUCGAGCGAACAGACGAGGAGCUUGCUCCUCUGACGUUAGCGGCGGACGGGUGAGUAACACGUGGAUAACCUACCUAUAAGACUGGGAUAACUUCGGGAAACCGGAGCUAAUACCGGAUAAUAUAUUGAACCGCAAGGUUCAAUAGUGAAAGACGGUUUUGCUGUCACUUAUAGAUGGAUCCGCGCCGCAUUAGCUAGUUGGUAAGGUAACGGCUUACCAAGGCAACGAUGCGUAGCCGACCUGAGAGGGUGAUCGGCCACACUGGAACUGAGACACGGUCCAGACUCCUACGGGAGGCAGCAGUAGGGAAUCUUCCGCAAUGGGCGAAAGCCUGACGGAGCAACGCCGCGUGAGUGAUGAAGGUCUUCGGAUCGUAAAACUCUGUUAUUAGGGAAGAACAAAUGUGUAAGUAACUAUGCACGUCUUGACGGUACCUAAUCAGAAAGCCACGGCUAACUACGUG
Molecule: ribosomal RNA, 497 nt
Filed under: uncultured bacterium
Lineage: Bacteria
Description: partial 16S ribosomal RNA
Rfam family: Bacterial small subunit ribosomal RNA
Source: RNAcentral